Lemur catta (Ring-tailed lemur) is the source of this 933-nucleotide long non-coding RNA. RefSeq lists it as uncharacterized. The transcript has 7 exons. Lineage: Eukaryota; Metazoa; Chordata; Mammalia; Primates; Lemuridae. The record is from RefSeq and is a predicted model, not a curated record.
UCAGAAGCUGUGUCAGAGAAGCAACACUGGACAGACACCUGAGUGCCAUGCAAGAGGAAACUUAAGGACAAAGGCAGCUCCAGGGAAACUACUGCUUCUAGAACUGGAAUUGGGACAUGCUAAAUGGAAGGAAUUAAUCAAGAUUUGUGGAUUGGAUGGUGGGUCACUUGCCUCCUCAUGUCUGAAAGGGAACAAGGAGCUGAAAGUGAGCAUCUUCAGAAUUACUUGGUGUCAAGCUUAUAAAAAGAGCACCAGGAUAUUUUUAUGUCUUGGCAGCCUCUGUUUGCUUUCUUCUCAUGUGACUUCUGGGAAUGUGACAACCAUCUUUUGAGAACAGCAGUAGCCAGAUGAAGUGGACAAGCCAGCAUACUGAGAAUAACAAAACAGCAAUAUAAAAACAAGGCUUGAACAUGGAGAAGAGGGCCAGAAGGCUAGGACAGAGUUGAAGAAGAACAUUCCAGGGUGUAGCCAGUAUGCCUGUUUGGUGUGGUAAGGAUGUGUGAGUGGAAUCUGACUGAAGUGAUUGCAUUUAAAAUUAGUUCAGAGUCAAUGGACCAGUGAUAACCUGAAGGGGAGGACUGCAUAUCAUGCAGAGAUACUCCACUUCGAUAUGGACGAAUUUUUUCCUGUCCUGAUGAAACACUCUAUUCUCAAUAUGAAUAAUGUGCAAUUAUCCAUAUCUUGGGAAAAUCGUAGAGGAUUGGAUUAUACCUGUGUUCUCCAAAUUGUUCUCCUUGAGGGGUCUUUCCUUUGGCAGCCAUAGCACAGAGUAAGCGUGUCCCAUCAUCCACGCUUUCCCUCCAGGCCCACAACCCAGCCUCCUGGCGGAGGAAGAUUACAGAGAAUAGUUCCAUUUGCACUGUUUUGCCAUGUCUUAAUUAUCUCGUGGAACCAUUGGUGUGUGGUAUGUGGUAUGUGGCAUUCCCCCCGCCC